Suncus etruscus (white-toothed pygmy shrew) is the source of this 129-nucleotide small nucleolar RNA. RefSeq annotates it as small nucleolar RNA SNORA3/SNORA45 family. The record is from RefSeq and is a predicted model, not a curated record. The transcript has a single exon. Lineage: Eukaryota; Metazoa; Chordata; Mammalia; Eulipotyphla; Soricidae.
CUUGAGACUAGAGUCAUGCUUAGGUAUUGUCUGUUGCCUUGGUAUGCUAUAGUCCUCAAAGAGUAACUGCUGACUGUAUUCACAGAUGUGGUCCUAAUGAUAUAGUAAGUCACCUGGCUAGUGACAUGC